CUGGAGAAGCCCGGAUAUUGACGAAGUCCGAAAGAAGCUCGGAGCAAAGUUGAUCGUGACAGGAGGAAGUUUGAAAAAGAUUUAGAGAGUAGUCAAUCACUGUAGAAAAUCAGCUAAUAGUGAAGCCCAGAGAGCAUUUGGAGCAGUCCGAUAGACUACUGAAGGAGCUCAUUAUCGGAGAAGUCUGGAGGGUAUGAUAGGAGUUCAUCCAUUGGAGGAGUCCGGAGGACA
This 231-nucleotide long non-coding RNA is filed under the name Elaeis guineensis (African oil palm). RNAcentral describes it as "long non-coding RNA (EGUI_LNC052722)". The record is from RNAcentral. Lineage: Eukaryota; Viridiplantae; Streptophyta; Magnoliopsida; Arecales; Arecaceae.